GUACGUAGGGGGCGAGCGUUGUCCGGAAUUACUGGGCGUAAAGGGCGUGUAGGCGGCCAAGCAAGUCAAGUGUGAAAAGCCCCGGCUUAACCGAGGCAUUGCACAUGAAACUGCAUGGCUUGAGUGCAGGAGAGGGAAGUGGAAUUCCUAGUGUAGCGGUGAAAUGCGUAGAUAUUAGGAGGAACACCAGUGGCGAAGGCGACUUCCUGGACUGUAACUGACGCUGAGGCGCGAAAGCGUGGGUAGCAAACGGGAUUGGAUACCCUGGUAGUCCACGCCGUAAACGAUGGGUACUAGGUGUGGGUAGUUCACACUAUCCGUGCCGCAGCAAACGCAAUAAGUACCCCGCCUGGGGAGUACGGCCGCAAGGUUGAA
This 375-nucleotide ribosomal RNA is filed under the name uncultured bacterium. Its description in RNAcentral is "bacterial SSU rRNA". It matches the Rfam family "Bacterial small subunit ribosomal RNA", at positions 523 to 898 of the family's 1533-position model. The record is from RNAcentral.